RNAcentral lists this unclassified non-coding RNA (344 nucleotides) under fungal sp. RNAcentral describes it as "partial internal transcribed spacer region". The stretch from base 1 to 46 matches the Rfam family "Eukaryotic small subunit ribosomal RNA", at positions 1786 to 1831 of the family's 1831-position model. Lineage: Eukaryota; Fungi. The record is from RNAcentral.
AAGUCGUAACAAGGUCUCCGUAGGUGAACCUGCGGAGGGAUCAUUAACACAAGUGGGGGGACACCAACACCAACACUGGUACUCGCAAGGGUGACGCUGUUGGUGGUGCUCUCACUUCUUCUCAACACCCAUCUAACGUGAACUACUGUGACCCUUACUUUUUGUCUUCGCAGCCUUGCUGCUGUGAUGAUUUCAUUUUUUUGUGAAUGAAACCCUUUCCAAUGUUUUUUUAACACUUGUAACUGUGCUGGAGCUAUGUGUGUUAGUGCAAACUAGCCCUCUUGCUCUUUAACUAUUACGAACUAUAAUGAGUACAACUCUUAGCAACGGAUAUCUUGGUUCUC